GAGCUCCCCGGAGACGCUGACGGGGACAGGAGAGGGACAGGGGUGUCCCAGGUGUGUCCCAAAUGUCCCCAGGUGUGUCCCAGGUGUCCCCAAAUGUCCCCCAGGUGUCCCUUCCCCACUCCAGGUGUGUCUUGAUCCCCCAGGUGUGUCCCAGGUGUGCCCUCCCCACUCCAGGUGUGUCCCAGAUGUCCCCAGGGGUGUCUCAGGUGUGUCCCAAUGUCCCUAAAGGGUCCCCAGGUGUGUCCCAGGUGUGCCCUCCCCACUCCAGGUGUGUCUCAGGUGUCCCCAGGCUCAUCCCAGGUGUCCCCCGAUGUCCCC
This is a long non-coding RNA of Poecile atricapillus (Black-capped chickadee), 318 nucleotides long. RefSeq lists it as uncharacterized. The record is from RefSeq and is a predicted model, not a curated record. NCBI's taxonomy places the organism in Eukaryota, Metazoa, Chordata, Aves, Passeriformes, Paridae. The transcript has 3 exons.